Molecule: transfer RNA, 65 nt
Filed under: Novaculina chinensis
Lineage: Eukaryota; Metazoa; Mollusca; Bivalvia; Adapedonta; Pharidae
Description: tRNA-Ala
Source: RNAcentral
GGUAUAGUACUUUAAAAAAAAGGUUAGCUUUGCAAGUUAAAAUUAGAGUUUAACUCUUUAUGCCU